CUGGGCCUCUGGCACUGGCCUUGCUGAGGUGUGGUAGGCCCUGAUUGUGCUGUGCUGACAUCUUGCAGAAGCCUUGGUCCCUGCCCUGGGCUCUGGUCACAAGGCCCCACUGCUGCCUCCUGCUCCCUGAGACCUCUUCUGACCACACUCGCCCUCUGCACCUGCACCUGCCUAUGAUCUGAGGGAGAAGAGAAGAAAAUGAACAAAUUUGAAGGAAAACAAAAUAAAGAUCUCCUGUUUCUAACCACAUAUUCAGCAGAAAUGAGAAUUAAGAAGUCAAAUUGGAGCAGUGGACGGACCAC
This 302-nucleotide long non-coding RNA is filed under the name Ursus maritimus (polar bear). RNAcentral describes it as "lncRNA (ENSUMAG00000013518.1)". The record is from RNAcentral. Lineage: Eukaryota; Metazoa; Chordata; Mammalia; Carnivora; Ursidae.